CAGCCGCCGCGGUAAUACGGCGGGUGCGAGCGUUAAUCGGAAUUACUGGGCGUAAAGCGCACGUAGGCGGUUAGGUAAGUCGGAUGUGAAAGCCCUGGGCUUAACCUGGGAACUGCAUUCGAUACUGCCUGGCUAGAGUAUGGGAGAGGGAAGCGGAAUUUCCGGUGUAGCGGUGAAAUGCGUAGAUAUCGGAAGGAACACCAAUGGCGAAGGCAGCUUCCUGGCCCAAUACUGACGCUCAGGCACGAAAGCGUGGGGAGCAAACAGGAUUAGAUACCCUGGUAGUCCACGCCCUAAACGAUGUCAACUGGGUGUUGGGGAAGCGAUUCCUUGGUACCGUAGCUAACGCGUGAAGUUGACCGCCUGGGGAGUACGGCCGCAAGGUUAAAACUCAAAGGAAUUGACGG
This 407-nucleotide ribosomal RNA is filed under the name uncultured bacterium. RNAcentral's name for it is "bacterial SSU rRNA". It matches the Rfam family "Bacterial small subunit ribosomal RNA", at positions 509 to 916 of the family's 1533-position model. The record is from RNAcentral.